This 1078-nucleotide long non-coding RNA is filed under the name Macaca nemestrina (pig-tailed macaque). Its description in RNAcentral is "lncRNA (ENSMNEG00000046086.1)". Lineage: Eukaryota; Metazoa; Chordata; Mammalia; Primates; Cercopithecidae. The record is from RNAcentral.
AUCAGUGUCUCCCCAGCGAAGACUCCAUGCCGACAUCUGCAGCUGCCCCGACUCACCUACAGAAGCAAGUGGCCCCAUCAUCUGAAAACAGGAUGAGAGAUCAAGAAAUAUUAUCCAGUGGCUCUAUGCAGUUCAAAGGGUAGAAGAAAGAAGACCCAGUCAAGGUUUUCGGAUUGGCAGUCUCCAGGUGACAUCUGGUUCUUCUGCCUCCCCCCGAAGGUGGAACAGCAUUGGAAUAAAUUUUAAAUCAGAUGAAAAAAAGCAAUCCUCAUAGCGGGGAGAAAGUGAGGGAAAAGGAGGAAGGAAAAAGAAGAGAAUAGGAGGAAAGGAUGGAAGGAGAAAUGAAGAAAUGAAGAUUUGGGGCAGAUGUCGCCAGUGACGUAUUGCCAAGGAGUGAAAACUAUUGCCAAGGAGUGAUUCUUAUUUGGACAUUGCUUUAAAUAAUUGCAGAUCCUAAGAAAGACGCUAUAGUGGACCAUGUCUGAGAUAUCAAAAUAUCAACAAGGGUGAGCAAUCUGAGAGCAACAUUUUGCAACACUGUCACAUAUCAGUGUGAAUUAAGAAGUUCUCAUAGGCAGGUGAGUCAACCAGAUGCUCUCCUGGUAGGGGUAACGUGAUUACACACUGAUUACAUUUCUUUAUCAGCGGAGAUUCAUCAAGAAGCUCAACAUUUGCAUUUGUACAAUAUUUCUAUCUUGAAAAAUGGACAAUUCCACACCUUCACAAAACAAAUAGAACAUAAUUUAUGUAUUAAUUCAUGUGAUUCUGGAUUUCACACCGUGGCAGUUAAAUAUUUUUUUUAAGCUUAUGGGCAGUUUUAUUUUGUUUGUUCUGUCUUAUUUCUGUGGGCAUGGAAUUUUUACUUUAUGCUUUUUGUCUUUGCUUUUUCUGAACUCUAUAAACCAUUUCUCAGAAAAGCAUCCUUGUGCUCUAAGAAAAAUGAAUCUCAACAUCGCAAGGAACACACCUCUCCAGCCGAUGAUUAGCCAAACUGAUCAGACCUUUUCUGUUUGGGACAAUUGCAGCAGAGAAGCGGAUUCUGAGCAGUGGGGUGGGAUGGAUCUUAGCAACUGAGGGC